RNAcentral lists this ribosomal RNA (1822 nucleotides) under Salmonella enterica. RNAcentral describes it as "partial 23S ribosomal RNA". It matches the Rfam family "Bacterial large subunit ribosomal RNA", at positions 997 to 2802 of the family's 2925-position model. The record is from RNAcentral. Lineage: Bacteria; Pseudomonadati; Pseudomonadota; Gammaproteobacteria; Enterobacterales; Enterobacteriaceae.
GCUAACGUCCGUCGUGAAGAGGGAAACAACCCAGACCGCCAGCUAAGGUCCCAAAGUCAUGGUUAAGUGGGAAACGAUGUGGGAAGGCCCAGACAGCCAGGAUGUUGGCUUAGAAGCAGCCAUCAUUUAAAGAAAGCGUAAUAGCUCACUGGUCGAGUCGGCCUGCGCGGAAGAUGUAACGGGGCUAAACCAUGCACCGAAGCUGCGGCAGCGACACUGUGUGUUGUUGGGUAGGGGAGCGUUCUGUAAGCCUGUGAAGGUGUGUCGUGAGGCAUGCUGGAGGUAUCAGAAGUGCGAAUGCUGACAUAAGUAACGAUAAAGCGGGUGAAAAGCCCGCUCGCCGGAAGACCAAGGGUUCCUGUCCAACGUUAAUCGGGGCAGGGUGAGUCGACCCCUAAGGCGAGGCCGAAAGGCGUAGUCGAUGGGAAACGGGUUAAUAUUCCCGUACUUGGUGUUACUGCGAAGGGGGGACGGAGAAGGCUAUGUUGGCCGGGCGACGGUUGUCCCGGUUUAAGCGUGUAGGUGUGUGUUCCAGGUAAAUCCGGUUCACUUUAACACUGAGGCGUGACGACGAGGCACUACGGUGCUGAAGCAACAAAUGCCCUGCUUCCAGGAAAAGCCUCUAAGCAUCAGGUAACAUCAAAUCGUACCCCAAACCGACACAGGUGGUCAGGUAGAGAAUACCAAGGCGCUUGAGAGAACUCGGGUGAAGGAACUAGGCAAAAUGGUGCCGUAACUUCGGGAGAAGGCACGCUGACACGUAGGUGAAGUGAUUUACUCAUGGAGCUGAAGUCAGUCGAAGAUACCAGCUGGCUGCAACUGUUUAUUAAAAACACAGCACUGUGCAAACACGAAAGUGGACGUAUACGGUGUGACGCCUGCCCGGUGCCGGAAGGUUAAUUGAUGGGGUCAGCGCAAGCGAAGCUCCUGAUCGAAGCCCCGGUAAACGGCGGCCGUAACUAUAACGGUCCUAAGGUAGCGAAAUUCCUUGUCGGGUAAGUUCCGACCUGCACGAAUGGCGUAAUGAUGGCCAGGCUGUCUCCACCCGAGACUCAGUGAAAUUGAACUCGCUGUGAAGAUGCAGUGUACCCGCGGCAAGACGGAAAGACCCCGUGAACCUUUACUAUAGCUUGACACUGAACAUUGAGCCUUGAUGUGUAGGAUAGGUGGGAGGCUUUGAAGUGUGGACGCCAGUCUGCAUGGAGCCGACCUUGAAAUACCACCCUUUAAUGUUUGAUGUUCUAACGUGGACCCGUUACCCGGGUUGCGGACAGUGUCUGGUGGGUAGUUUGACUGGGGCGGUCUCCUCCUAAAGAGUAACGGAGGAGCACGAAGGUUGGCUAAUCCUGGUCGGACAUCAGGAGGUUAGUGCAAUGGCAUAAGCCAGCUUGACUGCGAGCGUGACGGCGCGAGCAGGUGCGAAAGCAGGUCAUAGUGAUCCGGUGGUUCUGAAUGGAAGGGCCAUCGCUCAACGGAUAAAAGGUACUCCGGGGAUAACAGGCUGAUACCGCCCAAGAGUUCAUAUCGACGGCGGUGUUUGGCACCUCGAUGUCGGCUCAUCACAUCCUGGGGCUGAAGUAGGUCCCAAGGGUAUGGCUGUUCGCCAUUUAAAGUGGUACGCGAGCUGGGUUUAGAACGUCGUGAGACAGUUCGGUCCCUAUCUGCCGUGGGCGCUGGAGAACUGAGGGGGGCUGCUCCUAGUACGAGAGGACCGGAGUGGACGCAUCACUGGUGUUCGGGUUGUCAUGCCAAUGGCACUGCCCGGUAGCUAAAUGCGGAAGAGAUAAGUGCUGAAAGCAUCUAAGCACGAAACUUGCCCCGA